RNAcentral lists this ribosomal RNA (497 nucleotides) under uncultured bacterium. RNAcentral describes it as "partial 16S ribosomal RNA". It matches the Rfam family "Bacterial small subunit ribosomal RNA", at positions 28 to 507 of the family's 1533-position model. The record is from RNAcentral.
GAUGAACGCUGGCGGCGUGCCUAAUACAUGCAAGUCGAGCGAACAGACGAGGAGCUUGCUCCCCUGACGUUAGCGGCGGACGGGUGAGUAACACGUGGAUAACCUACCUAUAAGACUGGGAUAACUUCGGGAAACCGGAGCUAAUACCGGAUAAUAUAUUGAACCGCAUGGUUCAAUAGUGAAAGACGGUUUUGCUGUCACUUAUAGAUGGAUCCGCGCCGCAUUAGCUAGUUGGUAAGGUAACGGCUUACCAAGGCAACGAUGCGUAGCCGACCUGAGAGGGUGAUCGGCCACACUGGAACUGAGACACGGCCCAGACUCCUACGGGAGGCAGCAGUAGGGAAUCUUCCGCAAUGGGCGAAAGCCUGACGGAGCAACGCCGCGUGAGUGAUGAAGGUCUUCGGAUCGUAAAACUCUGUUAUUAGGGAAGAACAAAUGUGUAAGUAACUAUGCACGUCUUGACGGUACCUAAUCAGAAAGCCACGGCUAACUACGUG